Molecule: ribosomal RNA, 239 nt
Filed under: uncultured bacterium
Lineage: Bacteria
Description: partial 16S ribosomal RNA
Rfam family: Bacterial small subunit ribosomal RNA
Source: RNAcentral
GAUCCUGGCUCAGGAUGAACGCUAGCUACAGGCUUAACACAUGCAAGUCGAGGGGCAGCAUGGUUUCAGCUUGCUGAGACUGAUGGCGACCGGCGCACGGGUGAGUAACGCGUAUCCAACCUGCCCUUUACUCCGGGAUAGUCUCCUGAAAGGGAGUUUAAUACCGGAUGUGUUUGUCUUUCCGCAUGGGAGCGACAAAUAAAGAUUAAUUGGUAAAGGAUGGGGAUGCGUCCCAUUAG